Molecule: ribosomal RNA, 253 nt
Filed under: uncultured bacterium
Lineage: Bacteria
Description: partial 16S ribosomal RNA
Rfam family: Bacterial small subunit ribosomal RNA
Source: RNAcentral
UACGGAGGGUGCGAGCGUUGUCCGGAAUCACUGGGCGUAAAGGGCGCGUAGGUGGCUUCUCAAGCGCGCGGUGAAAGCCCGGGGCUCAACCCCGGGUCGGCCGUGCGGACUGGGAGGCUCGAGCACUGUAGGGGCGGGUGGAAUUCCGGGUGUAGCGGUGGAAUGCGUAGAGAUCCGGAAGAACACCGGUGGCGAAGGCGGUCUGCUGGGCAGUAGCUGACACUGAGGCGCGACAGCGUGGGGAGCAAACAGG